Transfer RNA from Atta colombica, 73 nucleotides. It matches the Rfam family "tRNA". From Rfam's summary of the family: Transfer RNA (tRNA) molecules are approximately 80 nucleotides in length. Their secondary structure includes four short double-helical elements and three loops (D, anti-codon, and T loops). Further hydrogen bonds mediate the characteristic L-shaped molecular structure. tRNAs have two regions of fundamental functional importance: the anti-codon, which is responsible for specific mRNA codon recognition, and the 3' end, to which the tRNAs corresponding amino acid is attached (by aminoacyl-tRNA synthetases). tRNAs cope with the degeneracy of the genetic code in two manners: having more than one tRNA (with a specific anti-codon) for a particular amino acid; and 'wobble' base-pairing, i.e. permitting non-standard base-pairing at the 3rd anti-codon position. The record is from Rfam. Lineage: Eukaryota; Metazoa; Arthropoda; Insecta; Hymenoptera; Formicidae.
GCCUCUGUGGUCUAAUAGCUUAGGACGCUCGUAUGGAAUACAAGAGAUCCGAGUUCAAGUCUCGGCCGAGAUA